UGACCAUAAACGAUGCCAACUGACGAUCCGUGGUGGUAGUAUUUUAACCAUCCCCACGGGCAGUCCCCGGGAAACCUUUAAGUCUUUGGGUUCCGGGGGAAGUAUGGUUGCAAAGCUGAAACUUAAAGGAAUUGACGGAAGGGCACCACCAGGAGUGGAGCCUGCGGCUUAAUUUGACUCAACACGGGAAAACUCACCCGGCCCGGACACUGUGAGGAUUGACAGAUUGAUAGCUCUUUCUUGAUUUGGUGGUUGGUGGUGCAUGGCCGUUCUUAGUUGGUGGAGCGAUUUGUCUGGUUAAUUCCGAUAACGAACGAGACUCUAGCCUGCUAAUUAGUACGCCUGUCCUCUGUUCCUGUGCUGGCGGUACUUUGGCGAAACUGCUCACGUAAGCCGACCACUAUUGGGACGUGUUCUUGCGUGUGCUGCGAGCUCCUCGUGGGUGCGUGGUGCGCGUGGGAGCGUGAACUGUGGUGGAAGGUGUGUGCGGUGGGUCGGGUGCUUGCCUCCGGGUACGGCGCAGGUGUGUCUACUUCUUAGAGGGACAAGCAUUACGAAUGUGUACGAAAUUGAGCAAUAACAGGUCUGUGAUGCCCUUAGAUGUCCGGGGCCGCACGCGCGCUACAAUGACGGUGCCAACGAGUCUGACCUUCUGGCCCGAAAGGGUUGGGCAAACUGGUCAAUCACCGUCAUGACAGGGAUCGGGGCUUGGAAUUGUUCCCCGUGAACGAGGAAUUCCUAGUAAGUGCAAGUCAUAAGCUUGCGCUGAUUACGUCCCUGCCCUUUGUACACACCGCCCGUCGCUACUACCGAUUGAAUGGUUUAGUAAGGUCCUCGGAUUGGCGCCAUUGCAGUGUCAGCCGCAAGGUUGGUGCUCGACAGGUGCCGAGAAGACGACCAAACUUGAUCAUUUAGA
This 916-nucleotide ribosomal RNA is filed under the name Diplogonoporus sp. LG-2013. RNAcentral describes it as "bacterial SSU rRNA". It matches the Rfam family "Eukaryotic small subunit ribosomal RNA", at positions 1027 to 1777 of the family's 1831-position model. The record is from RNAcentral. Lineage: Eukaryota; Metazoa; Platyhelminthes; Cestoda; Diphyllobothriidea; Diphyllobothriidae.